RNAcentral lists this microRNA precursor (107 nucleotides) under Oryza sativa (Asian cultivated rice). RNAcentral's name for it is "partial microRNA MIR481 precursor". Lineage: Eukaryota; Viridiplantae; Streptophyta; Magnoliopsida; Poales; Poaceae. The record is from RNAcentral.
AUUUUGUAAGGUACUCCCUCCGUCCCAUAAUAUAAGGGAUUUUGGGUCGAUGCGUCACAUACACCAAAAUCCCUUAUAUUAUGGGAGAGAGGGAGUAUUAUGCAAUU